CAGCAGCAGCCGCGGGAAUACGGAGGGUGCAAGCGUUAUCCGGAUUUAUUGGGUUUAAAGGGUCCGUAGGCGGAUCUGUAAGUCAGUGGUGAAAUCUCACAGCUUAACUGUGAAACUGCCAUUGAUACUGCAGGUCUUGAGUAAAUUUGAAGUGGCUGGAAUAAGUAGUGUAGCGGUGAAAUGCAUAGAUAUUACUUAGAACACCAAUUGCGAAGGCAGGUCACUAAGAUUUAACUGACGCUGAUGGACGAAAGCGUGGGGAGCGAACAGGAUUAGAUACCCCUGUAGUCCCUGUCUCUUAUAC
This 304-nucleotide ribosomal RNA is filed under the name uncultured bacterium. RNAcentral's name for it is "partial 16S ribosomal RNA". It matches the Rfam family "Bacterial small subunit ribosomal RNA", at positions 506 to 807 of the family's 1533-position model. The record is from RNAcentral.